CCUACGGGGGGCGGCAGUGGGGAAUAUUGCGCAAUGGGCGGAAGCCUGACCGAGCAAUGCCGCGUGAACGAAGAAGGUCUUCGGAUUGUAAAGUUCUGUUAUUCGGAAAGAAAGGUAAAGUCAGGAAAUGGGCUAUAUUUGACGGUACCGAAUGAGGAAGCCCCGGCUAACUACGUGCCAGCAGCCCCGGUC
This 192-nucleotide ribosomal RNA is filed under the name uncultured bacterium. RNAcentral's name for it is "partial 16S rRNA". It matches the Rfam family "Bacterial small subunit ribosomal RNA", at positions 338 to 522 of the family's 1533-position model. The record is from RNAcentral.